GAUGAACGCUGGCGGCGUGCCUAAUACAUGCAAGUCGAGCGAACAGACGAGGAGCUUGCUCCUCUGACGUAAGCGGCGGACGGGUGAGUAACACGUGGAUAACCUACCUAUAAGACUGGGAUAACUUCGGGAAACCGGAGCUAAUACCGGAUAAUAUAUUGAACCGCAUGGUUCAAUAGUGAAAGACGGUUUUGCUGUCACUUAUAGAUGGAUCAGCGCCGCAUUAGCUAGUUGGUAAGGUAACGGCUUACCAAGGCAACGAUGCGUAGCCGACCUGAGAGGGUGAUCGGCCACACUGGAACUGAGACACGGUCCAGACUACUGCGGGAGGCAGCAGCAGGGAAUCUUCCGCAAUGGGCGAAAGCCUGACGGAGCAACGCCGCGUGAGUGAUGAAGGUCUUCGGAUCGUAAAACUCUGUUAUUAGGGAAGAACAAAUGUGUAAGUAACUAUGCCCGUCUUGACGGUACCUAAUCAGAAAGCCACGGCUAACUACGUG
RNAcentral lists this ribosomal RNA (497 nucleotides) under uncultured bacterium. Its description in RNAcentral is "partial 16S ribosomal RNA". It matches the Rfam family "Bacterial small subunit ribosomal RNA", at positions 28 to 507 of the family's 1533-position model. The record is from RNAcentral.